UGAGGUUAGUACCUGCCACAUUAGGUGUGUGGGACCCAAUCAAACAUAAAUGUGUGAGGAGCCCACUGCCUGGUUCAUAAUCACUGCUCCGUGGCUGCUGAUGGUUCUGAUGCUUAUCAUGACCGCUAGGAGCUGGAGAUAGAUCUUGAGAUCUCUUCUGCCCGGGUCAUGGGUAAACAUGAUGGAUAAAAUUAUGUGAACCAGAGUUUGAAUUUUGGCUUCUAGUUUUGUGACUCCCCCUUUCUGAGCUCUCGUUCUCAUCUGUAAAGCGGAGCAGCGACACCACUGUUCACAGGCUUGCUGUGAGGAUGGGAGGCAGCAGCGAGGGGACGGAGCCCUCCCAGCAGUAAACCGCAGCUGUGACCCCCUAAUUCAAAGCUCCUCCCCUCGGCGGCAGCGAGGACAACGGCUUUCAGUUUGAAGAAUGGUCCUGUGCUGUCCCACUCCGCAUGAUCAGCAGUGGACGAUCACAAUGGGAAUGGCCGAAUGAACAGGAGAACACGCAGCCUGCAGUCUCUGGUAUGUGCCAGGGACACAGAGAUAACGGGAAAUGAUGAAUGAGGCCAAAGCCAGCUAAAGAUGGGACUCCAGUUUGGCAUGUAACUGAGAAUUCUCCUCUGCUCUUGCACAAUGACAGACAAGGUCUCGUGGCCUUGAGGCGAAGAUCGGGCAGAGGUUUCUGGGCUGUGCCAAGCCACGGUUUUGUUUUACCUCGUGAUGAGGAACAGCUGUGUCCCAAAGGGGCGGCACCUCGCUGCCUCCGCAGUGUUUUGAUAAGAGGCGCGGGGUCGGCGAGUGUGGACGAGAUGAGGAAUCGCGUUUCUCGCAACAGUCCUCGCGCUCCAGGUCACGAGCUAAUCUCCUCUGGGAAACCGAGACCAGAGAUGGGCCUCCCUCUCUCCCUGCUAUCUCAGGGUAUUUUCUGUCACCAUGGAGAACGGUAGAGGCUGGAAAAGGUCAAAAGGACACGGCCUACGAGCUGAGGCGGCAGAGCAGUGAAGCCUGUUGGAAAGUGCCAGCAUCCAAGAGGAGGAUGGUGAGAACCGCAGAGCAGGGCGCCGGGUCAGUCGGAUGGACACGGGUUCCAAGGCCACCUCUGUGCCACCAGCUGUGGACGUCCGAGUCUCAGUUUCCAUAUCCGUACCUAAAGGGCUGGUAGGAGUGAAGGAGUUGGGCUGUGCAGGGCCCUUUGGUGUUUCAGGCGAUGUGAGUUGAAGAAAGAAUGAGUGCUUGGUCUUCAGAAGGGGCAGAGACGAGCCGGCAGGUCGGGUCAGAGUCACGGUUAACAAGCUCUCGGCUCCUCACUCCGUCGCUGUUUGGUUUUCACUGCGUCGCGAUUUUGCAGCUUUCCCACUCGGACCACCAACUUUCCUGAGCGUUUAGCCUUCUCUGCCGGCUGCCGUCCCCUCCCUCUCAGAGUCCCCCACCCCCAUCCGCAUCUACUUGAUGAUGACAGGAAUCGCCAGGGGCACCAGGCAGCUCAGAAGGACACUCCAGGACAUGGCUGUCACACUUUUCUUUUUUCCUAAGACCCACAGUAAGAAAUAUAUUAAUAAGUUUUGCAUUGCAAAUCAACCCACACAUACAUAUAAAUGACUGAUUAAAGAAAUUUCAUGAAACACUCCCCGUCCUUCUUGUCUGCACUCUAUUAUUUUCUUUUCCAUUCCACUUCAUUCCACUCUAUUCUACUUUAUUUCUCCUUUGAAAGUGCUGGUUACCACCCAGUAAUCUAGUUCAUUAACCAGCUGCCAGUUUGAGAAACACUGGUUUCCGGUGGGACUGCCAUGCCGUUCUCUCUGUCCAGUUGUGGACUGUAUCAGUGGCCCUAGAAACCUGUCUUCCAAUUCACAGCCUAAGAAUCAUCAGGGGCCUUGAUUGAUAAAUGUACAAAUUUCCAGGCUCCAUCCCCAGAGAUUUGACAGCGUUUCAGAGACUGGUCAGAACCAGAGUGUCUCGUGGGGUCUCCCUGGCACUGAGAUGGAGAUUCUGAUUCCAGGGAGAAAGCUUCUGAUUGGUCUAGAUGGGUCAGAGGCCACCUCUUGGUCAGAGAAGGAAGAUGCCUUGAUGGGCAGUCCCACCAACACUGUAUCCCUUGGGGUGGGUAGCUCCCCAAAGUAAGUAGAAGAAAGGGUGAUGGAUGCUGCCAGGGACUGUUUGUGUCGCCCCAAAAUUCAUAUGUUGAAAUUCUGACCUCGAAUGUGAUGGUAUCUGGAGGUGGGGCCUUUGGGUUGAUUAGG
Equus quagga is the source of this 2237-nucleotide long non-coding RNA. RefSeq lists it as uncharacterized. The transcript is spliced from 3 exons. NCBI's taxonomy places the organism in Eukaryota, Metazoa, Chordata, Mammalia, Perissodactyla, Equidae. The record is from RefSeq and is a predicted model, not a curated record.